AAUGAACGCUGGCGGCGCGCCUAAUACAUGCAAGUCGAGCGAGAAGACGUAGCAAUACGUUUGUAAAGCGGCGAACGGGUGAGGAAUACAUGGGUAACCUACCCUCGAGUGGGGAAUAACUAGCCGAAAGGUUAGCUAAUACCGCGUACGCUUCUUGGACUUCGGUUCAGGGAGGAAAGCGAUGCCGAGGGUAUCGCGCUCUUGGAUGGGCUCAUGUCCUAUCAGCUUGUUGGNGAGGUAACGGCUCACCAAGGCUUCGACGGGUAGCUGGUCUGAGAGGACGAUCAG
Molecule: ribosomal RNA, 288 nt
Filed under: uncultured bacterium
Lineage: Bacteria
Description: partial 16S ribosomal RNA
Rfam family: Bacterial small subunit ribosomal RNA
Source: RNAcentral